This 28-nucleotide non-coding RNA is filed under the name Rattus norvegicus (Norway rat). Lineage: Eukaryota; Metazoa; Chordata; Mammalia; Rodentia; Muridae. The record is from RNAcentral.
UGGGCCUGAUGGUUGUAUUGUCGUUUGC